CUUAAAUUGUGUUUUGUGUCCCUUCAAUUCACAAACCAAAUACAGACUCCCUCUUUCUCUCAAGACAAUGCGACACUGAUCUUUCUCCAUUUCUUUUUUCUGCUUUAUUCGCGAUUCCGCCGUCUCAGUUUUGUUUCAGCCUCAACAUCAUCUCAUCUUCAACAUCGUUUCAAACAUGAUGCCACACUCCUACCUACCUCCGUUGUUCACCCUUUUGUGUCACCUCAAAUCAAGAUGCAGAUUCAGAACAACAUACAUCGUAGAAGUAAAAAGGAUUUUACCUGCACCGAUCUUGAAGAUGGAAAAUAG
Molecule: non-coding RNA, 309 nt
Organism: Vicia faba (fava bean)
Lineage: Eukaryota; Viridiplantae; Streptophyta; Magnoliopsida; Fabales; Fabaceae
Source: the annotation of a GenBank genome assembly